Ictalurus punctatus (channel catfish) is the source of this 1799-nucleotide long non-coding RNA. Lineage: Eukaryota; Metazoa; Chordata; Actinopteri; Siluriformes; Ictaluridae. The record is from Ensembl.
GACCUUCUUCCACCUCCAUACACAGCCAGAAGAGUAAACACUGUGCCUACUUUACUGUACUUUAUUCGCUGCUUGAGAGUCAUGAUGAGAUAAUGACAAAGUGCUUACUGUGUUAUUAUAUUACAUUAUAUCAUUCUCGUUCUACUUUCAACACUUAGCAUUUAGGCUUUGUCAGUACUGAAACUGAUACAGUAAAGCUCUACUGACUUGAGAACGAAUUGAAACUUAGGACAGAAAAGGGAAAGGACAGAGGAAGGAAUGUGAGGAAUCUGAAUCGUCCGUGCUGUAAACGCAUUCUGGCCGAAGAAUUCAAAGAGGCAGCCAAGAAGCAGAAGAAUGGGAGGCUUGGCGCUGUGUUUGGGUCGCAAGGGAGCCAGGAGCCUAUCCUUGGGAACUCGGUGCACAAGGCAAGGGAGACCCUCAGCAGGGUGCCAAUUCAUCUCAAGGCACAAUCGCACACACAUUCACACAACGGACAAUUUGGAAAUGCCAAUCAGCGUACAACACGUUUUUGGACUGGGGGAGAAAACCCGGAGUACCUGGGGGAAACCCUCGAAGGACGGAGAGAACAUGGAAGCUCCGCACACACAGGGUGGAGCUGAAACGUGCAAACCCGCGAGCCACCAUGCCCCUUCAAUAUAACAAUCACAUAUAAAACGGGGUUCAUGACGAAUACAGAUUGAAUUACUCACUGACCUCAAUUUCCCACUCCAGACUGUGGUAGUGACCCAAUGCCAAAUGUGACCACCUUUUGGACAGCAUGUCAUAUGUGCCAUGUGCCAAGCGAGCUGUUGGCCCAAUUGAGUCAAUCUGCAGUCUGCCAGGCGCCGAAAACACGAGAAAGCAUAAAAGCCUCUCUUUAGCAGCAGGGAGUCGCUAACUGCCUGCGAGGCCUGCUGUCUUCCCCCAGAGUUCAGGCUUUGAAGAGUGCUGUGCAUCACUUAUUCCCUUUCAUGUCUGCACUAUCUUGGGAAGCCACUGCAAGGGAGAUUUCAAAGGGGAGGACCAGAGGAGGGCAAGACUCCAGAGACCGCUCUCGCCCUUCCACUAGGCCUGAAGGAGAAAUUCCAAAAACGCUCAGCAGCAGCAGUACACAUACAGUAUGGUAGAGCAACAAUAGCUGAAUUUAGAACAGACAAAGAGUGUCAGCCAUUUUGUGGGCUUUAAGUGUGCAUUUUAAAACAGAGGAUAAUUACAGUUGAAGGCAAAAGUUGCACCCUGCAAAGUUUCUAGCUGGAAGGAAAAUUGAAUGAAGAAGCAAAAAUCUAAUUAAAUAAUUUUGAAAUGUAAUGUGGGUCUCAUGCAAUCAGGCAAAAUCUACAGAAAAGUAGCAUCCAUCCAUCUGCUAUACUGCUUAUCCUUCAGGGUCACAGGAAUCUUGGAGCCUAUACCAGGGACCAUCGGGCACAAGGUGGGGUACACCCUGGUCAGGGUGCCAAUCCAUCAUAGGGCACAAUCACACACACCCAUUCAUACACUACGGACACUUUGGACAUGCCAAUCAGUCUACCAUGCAUGUCUUUGGACUGGGGGAGGAAACCGGAGUACAUGGAGGAAACCCCACAGCACGGGGAGAACAUCCAAACUCCACACACACAGGACAGCGGCUGGAAUCGAACCCCCAGCCCUGGAGGUGUGAAGUGAACGUGCUAACCACGUUUAGAAAGGGUGAUGAAAACAUUUGAAGUGAUAUAUUUAUUUUCUCACAAUAUAUAAAAACAUAUGCUAUUUAACUAUUUUUGUUGUUAACUAUAAUGUAGGAACAUCUGUAAAGCCUAACAUUUUGCCCAGAACUUAUA